RNAcentral lists this ribosomal RNA (436 nucleotides) under uncultured bacterium. Its description in RNAcentral is "partial 16S ribosomal RNA". It matches the Rfam family "Bacterial small subunit ribosomal RNA", at positions 29 to 506 of the family's 1533-position model. The record is from RNAcentral.
AGCGAACGCUGGCGGCAGGCUUAACACAUGCAAGUCGAGCGGGCAUCCUUGUGGUGUCCGCGGCAGACGGGUGAGUAACGCGUGGGAACGUGCCCUUCGGUUCGGAAUAACUCAGGGAAACUUGAGCUAAUACCGGAUACGUGCGAGAGCAGAAAGGUUUAUCUGCCGAAGGAUCGGCCCGCGUCUGAUUAGCUAGUUGGUGAGGUUAUGGCUCACCAAGGCGACGAUCAGUAGCUGGUCUGAGAGGAUGAUCAGCCACACUGGGACUGAGACACGGCCCAGACUCCUACGGGAGGCAGCAGUGGGGAAUAUUGGACAAUGGGGGCAACCCUGAUCCAGCCAUGCCGCGUGAGUGAUGACGGCCUUAGGGUGGUAAAGCUCUUUUCGUCGGGACGAUAAUGACGGUACCGGAGGAAGAAGCCCCGGCUAACUUCGU